RNAcentral lists this long non-coding RNA (2453 nucleotides) under Salvia miltiorrhiza (redroot sage). RNAcentral describes it as "long non-coding RNA (SMIL_LNC002223)". The record is from RNAcentral. Lineage: Eukaryota; Viridiplantae; Streptophyta; Magnoliopsida; Lamiales; Lamiaceae.
AUUUGCUUAAUUGAAGUUAGUUCCAGCGUGACAUUGGAGAGCACAAAAAGCUUCAGCUUAGUUCCAGCAAUUCACCAUCACACUCGAAAAACAAGCAAACUCCUCCGAUUUGAAUUUGUGAAUUUGUGGUUUCCUUCACCUGAGUUCCUCCGAUUUGAAUCUCUCAUCUCAAACUCUGAGCUCCGAACUUCAAUUUAAUCCCCAGAGAGAGAUUGAUCCGAGCUCAAAACUCUCCGACAUCGUCGUAGCAGCAUCCCUCGCGAUCUCCUCCGCUUGAGAUCAAAAUUUUGGUGCGACCUUUUCAUUUCUCCUCUAAUUUCAUAUAUAAUUUAUCUAUUUAUAACCAUUAUUCUAUCAUUUUAUUGAAGCUCUGCUUUGGUGCAUUGUAAUUGAAGCUCUACUUUCGAAUUGAAGUCCAGUCUCACAGUAGCCAUUCUAAGUAGUAAGUUUCUCAAUCUCCUUCCUUGACUAUUUUCUAUGUAUUUUUGUGUAAAUUGUUUGUAUUCUUAGUUUUUGAAUUGGAAUUUCUGGUUAAUUAAGCAAACUCGACUGCAAAUGAAACUUUCAAUUAAAUUUGAAUGGGGAUUUUAGGUUGUCCUUUUCUUUUGUUUUGCUGCAAUUGUAUAUGAAUUUUUUGUUGAUUUAUAGUUCUACAAAAUUAAGCUCGAAAUUAUACAAUUUCUUUGUUUUUAGCUUGUUAGUUUUGAAAUGGACAAGAGUUGGAUUAAUGCGCCAAGGGUUAGUGAUGUUUAUAAGAGUGGAUGUGAGUCAUUCAUACAAUUUGCCAUGGAAGCUCAAGAAACUAUACUUUGCCCCUGCUUGAAGUGUUGUAAUGGCAAAAGGUUUUCAACUGAAAAUGUUCUUCAUCACAUAUUAUUCAAUGGUUUUUGUCCGGGAUAUACUACUUGGAAUUUUCACGGAGAACAUGUAUCGUCGGCAUGUUUGAGCUGCACACGAUUGAGGCGUUUGAGCUGCACACGAGAUACUUGUGAAAUUAGGUAGGCAUGUUUUAACACAAACUGUUCUUGUUUUCUUGUUUCAAGUUUGCAAAUGGCCAUUUUUCAUGAUGAGCAAUACAAAUGUUUUCUUUCCCCCUGGUGGUGUCUGUGUUUUACUAGAUAAGAAAGAGAUCAUAAUUAUUUAUGUCUUUGAUCUUUUUAGAAAAGAGAUACCAUGAACAUGAAUAGAAGAAGAAGUUGGGAAUAUACCUGCCUUAAAUUCAGGAAGAAUCAACUACCAAUUCAAGUCUUUGAUCUUUUUAGAAAAGAGAUGCCAUGAACAUGAAUAGAAGAAAAGGUUGGGAAUAUAUCUGCUUAGUAGACUCAGCCACUCACUUAUUUGACUUUACCUGCAGUAAUGUUAUUUAGUUGGAAGAUUCACUGAAAAAGAAGUAUGAGAAACAUGAUGAAUCUUUGUUUCAUCCAAGUCAAAUUCCAGAUUUUGGUAUCCGAGUCUGUUGGCAGGUCUCAAUCUUGUUUGAAAUCUUAAACUUUCUUGGGAGGCUAGUUUGUUUAGGGGUUGUUCAAUGGAGCUAUCAGAUUUUCCAAUUUGUAUAUACGUGGGAACCUUAAAAAGUCCAGGUGUCAUCAUUUUGCCUAUGGUUAAACCUUUUCUUUCCUUUAUGUCUUUAUUGUAAAUAAAGUACCAGAUUCAUACACGAUGGAAGUUAGAUGAUUGAUUUGAUGUUUCCUGUUUGCCCUGUCUAUCAUUUUGCAGCUAGCAUUUGUGUUGUAAGUUUGGACCCGAAGAGUUUGAAGUUUGGAAUCAAAACGACAUAAACUGUAGGGGACUUGUCUGUAAGUAGAAAUGUUAUUUCUCAUGAUGAGUAUAUGGCUCUAUUGAACUUAGUUAGAAAUAUGUAUCAUAAAGUUAUUUUACUACGAAUUAGUUAAGUUCUACUAAUUUUGACAUCACCAUUGCAGAUCUAAAUGUUUUGAUCAUGUUUCGAUCCAAAGUGACAAUAUCCCAGUACAAAAAAGGCCCUCCAACAACAAAUUGUAGUUCUCUACCGCCACCAUCUUCCACAUUCUCACAAUCUCUUACUAUUGAUUCACAUCAUUCUCCAGAUUCUAUUUUCAACCACUUGCGUCCACCUUCAUUAAAUAGUAAUUACACACAGCUAAGCCCCCUUCGGCAUUCACCAUCCCACUUCAUUCUCCUCCGAGACAGAUGAUAGUGAAUCUAACAACAAUGAUGAUAAUCACAUGUUCAAGUUUCUGAGAGUAAUGUACUUGAAAAUAUUGAGAUUGUAGGUAAUGUUUCUGUACACUCAAUGUAGUAGAAUCUUUUCCCUCCUUUGUAUUUAAUUCAGUAAGUUAUUGUGUUAUUUACAACUCUUUUGAUAUAAGCUAGAGAUAUAUUUAGUAAGCUACUUUGGUUUCUAUGACAGAUGACAAAGGCCAUGUGAAACUGACAAGAAUGGGAAUGAAAGCUAGUGAUGUUUUCAAGUUGGC